Molecule: ribosomal RNA, 428 nt
Filed under: uncultured bacterium
Lineage: Bacteria
Description: bacterial SSU rRNA
Rfam family: Bacterial small subunit ribosomal RNA
Source: RNAcentral
GGGCCCGCACAAGCGGUGGAACAUGUGGUUUAAUUCGACGCAACGCGAAGAACCUUACCUGGGUUUGACAUCCCCGGCCGACACCAGAGAUGGUGUUUUCUCUUCGGAGACCGGGUGACAGGUGCUGCAUGGCUGUCGUCAGCUCGUGUCGUGAGAUGUUGGGUUAAGUCCCGCAACGAGCGCAACCCUUGCCCUCAGUUGCCAGCAGUUCGGCUGGGCACUCUGGGGGGACUGCCGGUGACAAGCCGGAGGAAGGUGGGGAUGACGUCAAGUCCUCAUGGCCUUUAUAUCCAGGGCUACACACGUGUUACAAUGGGGGUCACAAAGGGCAGCGAAACGGUGACGUGGAGCGAAUCCCAAAAAAGCCCUCUCAGUUCGGAUCGCAGUCUGCAACUCGACUGCGUGAAGCUGGAAUCGCUAGUAAUCGC